This 403-nucleotide ribosomal RNA is filed under the name Verrucomicrobiota bacterium. RNAcentral's name for it is "Verrucomicrobia bacterium partial 16S ribosomal RNA". It matches the Rfam family "Bacterial small subunit ribosomal RNA", at positions 355 to 776 of the family's 1533-position model. The record is from RNAcentral. Lineage: Bacteria; Pseudomonadati; Verrucomicrobiota.
UGGGGAAUAUUGCACAAUGGAGGGAACUCUGAUGCAGCGACGCCGCGUGAACGAAGAAGGCUUUCGAGUCGUAAAGUUCUUUUAUAUGGGAAGAUAAUGACGGUACCAUGAGAAAAAGCCCCGGCUAACUACGUGCCAGCAGCCGCGGUAAUACGUAGGGGGCUAGCGUUGUCCGGAAUCACUGGGCGUAAAGGGUUCGCAGGCGGAAAUGCAAGUCAGGUGUAAAAGGCAGUAGCUUAACUACUGUAAGCAUUUGAAACUGCAUAUCUUUAGAAGAGUAGAGGUAAGUGGAAUUUUUAGUGUAGCGGUGAAAUGCGUAGAUAUUAAAAAGAAUACCGGUGGCGAAGGCGACUUACUGAGCUCAUUCUGACGCUGAGGAACGAACGCGAAGGUAGCAAACAGG